UACAGAGGGGGCAAGCGUUGUUCGGAAUUACUGGGCGUAAAGGGCGCGUAGGCGGCCUGCUAAGUCGAGCGCGAAAUCCCCGGGCGCAACCCGGGAACUGCGUCCGAUACUGGUUGGCUCGAAUUCGGGAGAGGGAUGCGGAAUUCCAGGUGUAGCGGUGAAAUGCGUAGAUAUCUGGAGGAACACCGGUGGCGAAGGCGGCAUCCUGGACCGACAUUGACGCUGAGGCGCGAAAGCCAGGGGAGCAAACGGG
This 253-nucleotide unclassified non-coding RNA is filed under the name uncultured Acidobacteriota bacterium. Its description in RNAcentral is "uncultured Acidobacteria bacterium contains 16S-23S intergenic spacer region". It matches the Rfam family "Bacterial small subunit ribosomal RNA", at positions 524 to 776 of the family's 1533-position model. Lineage: Bacteria; Pseudomonadati; Acidobacteriota. The record is from RNAcentral.